This 534-nucleotide ribosomal RNA is filed under the name Holothuria difficilis. Its description in RNAcentral is "partial 16S ribosomal RNA". It matches the Rfam family "Bacterial large subunit ribosomal RNA", at positions 1817 to 2605 of the family's 2925-position model. The record is from RNAcentral. Lineage: Eukaryota; Metazoa; Echinodermata; Holothuroidea; Aspidochirotida; Holothuriidae.
AGCCCUUUGAUCCCCAUAAAGGGUCUCGCCUGCCCAGUGGAACAUUCUAAACGGCCGCGGUAUCUUGACCGUGCAAAGGUAGCAUAAUCAUUUGUCUUUUAAAUGAAGACUAGUAUGAAUGGCAAAACCUUUUUUAACUGUCUCUCUCACUUUUCCUCAAAAUUCUUAUCUAAGUGAAGAAACUUAGAUUAAAAAGAAAGACGAGAAGACCCUGUCGAGCUUCAGUCCAAACGGGAACUAUUAUUCUCACUUGAGAACCAAUUCUUUUAUUUCUUCCCACUCAGGACUUUGGUUGGGGUAACCAUGGAGAAAAAAGAUCCUCCAGAAAUAACAGAAGAAACCAAUUCUCUGUAAUAAGUAAAGAGAACCAGAAACUGGAAAUCGGAAAAAGUUACCGCAGGGAUAACAGCGUCAUCUUCUCUAAGAGUCCUUAUUGACGAGAAGGUUUGCGACCUCGAUGUUGGAUUAGGGCAUCCUUAGGGUGCAGAAGCUCUAAAAGGUCGGACUGUUCGUCCGUUAAAGCCCCACGUGAUC